CCCUCAAACCUGGCUCAAAGAAAAAGGAACAGGAGAAUGGUCAAAAUACACAGCACACAGGUACUAAGAGGUCUUAGUGAAACUCCUCAGUUUGAACAGUAAAUGUGUAUGCUGAUUAAAAAUAAAACGAAGGCGGCAGUGCACACCUUUAAUCUUAGCACUGGGGCAGUCUGGUCUACAAAGCGAGUUCUAGGACAGCCAGAGCUACACAGAGAAACCCUGUCUCAAAGAACAAACAAAUAAACCAACAGGCAAAAGCCAGACACAAUAGUGUAAUCUGAACACUGAUCCCCUUGAAUCAAGUCAGUGAGCCCAGGUUCAAUGAGAGUUCUUGUCUAGGGAAGCCUAGAGAGAUUCUCAGCAGUUAGGAGUGCAUGCUGCUCUUGAAGAGGACCUGGGUUCAAUUCCCAGCACACACAUCUUUCUGGCAGAAAUGCUCACAAACCUACACACAUAUAUAAACACAGGCACACAAGGUAAUAACAAUGCAGUAAGAGGGAGCUGGAGGGAUGGCUCAGUGGUCAAUCCUGAGCAGGAAAACCCGCCAAUCCCUGAGCUCACUCAAGCUCAGGCAUUGAAAUCCCACCAAUCCUCACCCUGGAAAUCUCCCAGGGGAAAUCGCCCCACCCCAACCCCAACCCCGCUGGGCAAGAAAUCUUUUAUAAACUUUGCCACCUACUCAGUUCUUAGCUGCUUCUCACUGGAGCAGAGACAGCCACCCUCCCAACAGAUCUCUUGUGUAAGAUUUGUUAUGCAAAUGUUGACCUCGUGGCAUUCCCUGGCUCCCAAUUGCCAG
This 796-nucleotide long non-coding RNA is filed under the name Rattus norvegicus (Norway rat). Its description in RNAcentral is "long non-coding RNA NONRATT017218". Lineage: Eukaryota; Metazoa; Chordata; Mammalia; Rodentia; Muridae. The record is from RNAcentral.